GAGAGAAAGAAGCCCACACCAAGGGUUGUCCCAGGCUCCCGGUGUGUUUGCUACUGCUUGCUGCACAGAGUUCCGACAGGGUCCUCCCUUAACAAGCAAAGAGGAAAAUCAUCUCUGUUGCGAUGCCAGUGUGACUCGGCAAAGUUGCAUCUAGCGUGCGCGUCUGUCCUGGCUGAGGGGGGCUGAGAGAGGCUUUGCUGCCCUUUUCCCCCUUGAAUACGAGUUUCUCGUGACUUUCCACCACCCUGAACUCACAAUGAUCCGUCAAGGACCUUCUCCUAUUUCCCUCCCAGCACCAUCCUAAUUUCCUCCCUUCAGUGGCUUCUCUCCUCUUCAUGAUCACUUUAUCCCUUCCUGGACCAGAGGAAAUAAUGAGAGACAGUGCCUCCUCCGCUGAAAAUCCACAGCCAGGCAUGGACCCCUCCCCACCACCUCCUACUAUGGUACUUAAAGACCUCACCAUGAAAAACUGGAUUGCAUAAAGGACUGCUCCUGGACAGAGACCCCUGGCUUGUUAUAUUUGCACAACUGGACAGUUUUCAUGGCAUAGAUUGGAUGGACUCUGUCAGUGACAGGAGGCAAUGUCCCUCCUGAAGGAGGGAAGGGAGUCUCUUCACUAGCAAAUACUCCAGCCAUUGGGGAAAAAAAAAAGAUCCUGUGAUUCCAACCAUGGAACUGCUACUCAAAACAACUACAAGAAAGAGGAAGUAGAGACCACGCGAGGUAUUUCCGUGUAAGACUGUUCCACCUUGAGAAAAGAAGCAAAAUGUGGAAAUGGGUCCUUCGCUGGAGAAUGGAUUAAAGAGUCUUUGGUCUCUUUCUGAAUUGUGCUACUUAAUUUAUCAUCACCACCAUCAUCAUCAUCUUUGUUGUCAUCAUCUCCAUCACCCGUGCUUCCUACAUGCCAGAAGUGUUGUGUUCCCUGGUUGAUCUCAUUUAAUUCUUCUGACAGCAAUAUGAGGCCUUGGCAGCUAUGCAGAGCAUUGCAGUGAGAAGCUGCUGUCUUGGGGGAGCUUUACUGCUUUUGGAGAUUUAAUACUGAUCUUGAACUUGAGGUGUGUCUGCAUGAACUUCUAUGCACCAGAAACUUUCAUUUCAAUGCUGAAAUGUGGGGUAAGAUUUUGGUGAAAUUUUAAACAAAUUUAGGGAACUACCUUAAGUAAAUUCAACCAGGUAUCACAUGCAGUCUUACUUUGGAAUUGUGAAAAAAAAAUAAUAAUAAGAGUGGAAAUAUGGAAAGAGAAUGCAAUAGCUACAACAGCAUAAACAUUGACUAUUAAGAAUCAAAAUAAUAUUCAUAAAAAAUAUUCAUUAAGUUAGGUGUCAACAUUUGUAAGAAAUGCACUGUUCCUGGCUUCGAGGUGGAAGAAGGCCGCCACAAGCUAAGGAAUGUGGGCCGCAUCUAGAAGCUGGAAAAGGCAAGAAAACAGUCUCCUCUAGAGCCUCUAGAAGGAAUACAGUCCUGGUGACACCUUGGUCUUGGCCCAGUGAGACCCAUAUCAGAUUUCUAACCUACAGAACUAUAAGAUAGUACAUUUAUGUUUUCUUAAGCCACUAGGUGUGUAAUCAUUUGUUACAACAGCCACAGGAAAGGAAUGCAUGUAUGGUUCUCUACAUUUUUGGUCUCUGCAGAGACAGGGUGGAUGGGGCCAGGAGACUAGCUCUGGCACUUAGAAUGGGGGAUGGGUGUGAUUUGCCCCCUACCUGGGCAAUGUGCCAUGACCUCUCUCUCUGGUGGUUGGACAGCUGAAUGCAGAGGGUCAGUAGAGGGUCAAGGAGGCUCUAGUGGAUGGCAGAGUCGCUGUUUGCAAGGAGCCUUGAAUCUGAAGUCACCACUUGAAAGAGUGUUGCCUCUGGGAGCUGCCCCAACCAAAUGCAUGAGUCUUAAUCCCCUGAGUUCCCAGAGUUCAUUUUUCCCUGCAGCAGAGCUGCUUCUAGUCUAACUCCAGAAUCUCCAAAUCAGAUUAUUUUUUCUUUUUAAAAAAUUUUUAAAGAGUUUUUUUUCUUUUUUUUUUUUUUAAGGGAUCAAACUUCUACAUGGGCAAAGUCAGAACUUUGUUGGGCUUCCUUAGCCUUAGUUUGUAAUUCAGUCUUUUUAAAACUUCACGUAGCACAUGGAGAGCAUUGUAAUCAAAUUUCUAUACUUAGGGCUUGUGACGGUCUUAAACCAGUGCUACUUUCUUGGCCACGGAGGCACCCACAGCCUCACAGUGCAGACAGACAGCUCAUUGGUCUCUUACAGGCUCUUCUGGCCUUUUCCUAAAUAUGCUCUCCAGUGCCAUAAAUUUCUACUUUGUCCAGAGAUUCCUUUUUCUUGGAAUAUGUACCCCACCCCUUCCUUUAAGCUCAGCUCAAUUCCAUCUCCUUCAAGAUGCCUUUCUAGAUUCUCCAAGGAAUAUGAAUUUCCUUCCUCCAUGAUUCCCUGUGUUCUUUCGUAAUACUUAUUAAUGGAUCCCUGUCCUCUCUACCCAAGUACACACACAGGCACAUCCUAAAAUGUAGCUUCUAGAAGGCAAAUAUCAUCCCAGGCUCACUGUGGUCCUUCACCAUAAGAUAGUGCUCUAGGGCAGUAAAUGCUCUGUGCAUUUGCAAAUUUUAGUAAAACCUCUGUGGCUGGUGGAAGAGUUUUGUUUUGUUUGUUUAAGCAGACAGGAUCACGUGGUGCCUUUUAUAUUAUCAUAUAGGACUGGUCCAUUUAUAUAGAGCAAGGGUCCCCCAAGAUUCCUUGUUCAUCAAAAUCUGAAUGACUAAACCAGGCACUGUGCUAAAGGGCCGGAGCACCACGUACCCUGUGGAACUAUCAAAUGUCACCCACUAGGACAGCUGCAAACCACAUAUAGAGUGUACCUACUACGUACCAGACUUUGGGCAGGUGAUCGACAUCAGCCUGAGCCUCUGGCCAGUCCUUCACUUUCUAGGACUUCUUCCCUUUCAGGGAAAUUUGGCCUCCCAGCAUCUGGGGAACAAGCUGCUUAUUUGCUAAUAUCUGUUUGCACAUCAGGGUUUUUUACUUUUAGGAACAGUUUGUCUCUCUGGCAGAUCUCCGUGUUCCCAUACCGUUGUUUAUGAUGUAACUAAGCAUCUAUCGUAUAGAAUUGAACUCAAUUCUCUUUUGAAACUGCAAGAGAUCUAACCCGCUCAUUUUCUUUCCAUUUAACAUACGAGAGGGGUGUGUAGGAGCAGUUUAUUAAGGGGGAGCUGUUUAUUGAAGGAUCCUGGGGCUAAUCCCAGCCCAUUAUUUCUCCAUUUCCUUACAGCUCACUGAGAAGGGUGGGAGAGAACAGGAACGGGGAGACUAUUCUUUCCUGAGUGAUUGUUUGGCCAAUCCACAGGGAUCCUGACUUUCCUACACCCAUCAGGGAAGUAGCAUCCAGAGGGUCAUUCCAGGGACAGGGCUGGCUGUGUCAGGCUGUAAUGAAUGGUUCAGACUGAGAGGUGGAACUUGGCCAACAACAGGGAAAGACAAUAAUCAUUGGAAAAUUUAGGCAUUGAGAAUAAGAUCCAUGUCUGUCUUAUGUCCCCUGGGUACCAACACAAUGACUUGGCUUAGUAACUGUCCCAUAAUGUUUAAAUUAUGUUCAGUGAAUGAGUGAAUGAAUGGAUGCCGUAUUCUUGCUUCCUUCUCCAAACACUCUUUAUAAAAUUACGGCAUCUCAUUCAUGUCUCCUCUAUAAAUCGGGAAUUUGGUGAGGCAUGCUGUUUAUUGCUUAGGAAUCAUUUUACUUAAUCACAAAGGUCCCAGGGGUUCAGGCGGAAAAAAAAAAAAAAAAAAAAAAAAAACAGGUUUGGGAGAAAGAGUAGGAUAGGAUCUUCCUAGAGACUUUUCUUUCUUUUCUUUAAUGGGCGCACCCAUGGAAGAUGGAAAUUCCCAGACCAGGUAUUGAAGCCCAGCCUCAGCUGUGGCCAGAUCCUUUAACCCACUGCACCAGGCUGGGGAAUGAACCUGUACCUCGACAGUGACCCAAGCUGCUGCAGUGGGAUUCUUAAUCCAAGGUGUCACAGCACAGUGAGGCUAGAGCCCCACUUCAACUCCUAUAGAGUUGAAAGCUCUAUAGGAGUUUCUGUCAUGGCUCAGUGGUAACAAACUCUACUAGUAUCCACGAGGACGCUGGGUUUGAUAAGUGGGUUAAGGCUCUGGUGUUGCCGUGAGCUGUGGCGUAGGUCACAGACACGGUUCAGACCUGCUGUUGCUAUGGCUGUGGUGUAGGCUGGCAGCUACAGCUCCAAUUCGACCUCCAUCCUGGGAACUUUCAUAUGCUGCAGGU
This 4265-nucleotide long non-coding RNA is filed under the name Sus scrofa (pig). RNAcentral describes it as "lncRNA (ENSSSCG00000050502.2)". The record is from RNAcentral. Lineage: Eukaryota; Metazoa; Chordata; Mammalia; Artiodactyla; Suidae.